Molecule: long non-coding RNA, 1619 nt
Filed under: Homo sapiens (human)
Lineage: Eukaryota; Metazoa; Chordata; Mammalia; Primates; Hominidae
Description: HSALNT0159038
Source: RNAcentral
AAAGGUCACAGGAAUUAGAUUUGAUGUUUAAGUCCGUAACGAAGCCAGAGAGAAUAGAGAAAACAACAGCAGAUACACGCCUGCACUCCUCUUAAAAAUAAAGGAGAAUAUCAGAGGCAUGCUUCUGGCUCAGAAGACUAACACAUGGUAGACGCUCAAGAAAUAUUUGUUAUUAUUUGAAUGAAGUCCUGAGAUCAAGAGUCAUGCUUCAUGAUAAAAGCUUUUCAGAGCCCUCAAACUUAGAGUACAAGAGCUGAAGCAGCUUCUUCUCCCUCACUUUGCACCCUCCCAUGCCAAGCUGUGGGGCCUGGUGGGGAUGCACGCAUUACUCCAGUCUGCCUUGCUGCUGGAGAGGCUGAGUCAAGCUGGGCCAGACUGAGCUUUUCCAGAUUUUGAAACUCGGAAUUGAGAGAUAGCUUAUGAGAAAAAAGCUAGCCAGAGACUGCAGCCUUCAGAAAAGCCUGGUUGAGGGCAGAUGGCUUGAGCUCCGGAGUUCAAGACUAGCCUGGCCAACAUGUGAAACCCUGUUUCUACUAAAAAUACAAAAAUUAGCCAGGCAUGGUGGUGAGCACCUGUAGUCCCAGCUACUCAAGAGGCUGAGGCAGGAGAAUCUCUUAAACCCGGGAGGUAGAGGUUGCAGUGAGCUGAGAUCAUGCCACUGCACUCCUGCCUGGGUGACAGAGCAAGACCCUGUCCAAAAAAAAAAGUAAAAGAGCUAAUAUUUUCAUGGACUGGGUGCAGUGGCUCAUGCCUAUAAUCCCAGAACUUUGGGAGGCAGAGGUUGUUGGGUCACUUGAGGUCAGGAGUUCGAUACCACCCUGGCCAAUAUGGUGAAACCACGUCUCUACUAAAAAUAUAAAAAUUAGCUGGGCGGGGUGGCAUAUGCCUGUAAUCUCAGCUAAUCAGGAGACUGAGGCAGGAGAAUCACUUGAACCCAGGAGGAAUAGGUUGCAGUGAGCCAAAAUCACCCCACUGCACUCCAGCCUGGGCCACGGAGUGACUGUGUCUCAAAAAAACAAAUAAACAGGUCAGGCACGGUGGCUCAAUAUCUCUUUAAAGCCUUAAUACAAGGGAAGUCUUAGUGAAUGAUGUGGUCAUCCUAUGUAGACAUUUAUUUUAGCCAAGAUAAACAUAUGAAGAAAGAAGGCCAGUGAACCCGGCGCACGCUGAAGUGAGCUGUGACUGCACCACUGCACUCCAGACUAGGUGACAUAGAAAGAUCUCAUCUCAAAAAAUAAAAAUAAAACACGGUAAUAGUUUAAUAUGUUGCCUAACAUAUAAAGAUACUUGAUAAUUAAUGUUACGUUUGCACAUACAAAAUGCAAAUGUACUAUAUGUCACAAAUAAAUUGCGUAUAUAGAACCCUCUUUUCAUUCCUUAGGAAGUAUAAAUUAUUUGGGGCUGGACACGGUGGCUCGCGCCUAUAAUCCCAACACUUUAGGGGGCCGAGGCAAGCAUUUCACCUGAGGACAGGAGUUCGAGACCAGCCUGGGCAACAUGGCAAGACCCUGUCUCAAGUGAUCUGUCUGUCUCGGCCUCCCAAAGUGCGGGGAUUACAGGCGUGAGUCACUGUGCCUGGCCCCACGUCUGCACCACACCCAGCUAAUUUUUGUAUUUUU